Molecule: ribosomal RNA, 445 nt
Filed under: uncultured bacterium
Lineage: Bacteria
Description: partial 16S ribosomal RNA
Rfam family: Bacterial small subunit ribosomal RNA
Source: RNAcentral
GUGAGGAAUAUUGGACAAUGGGCGCAAGCCUGAUCCAGCCAUGCCGCGUGCAGGAAGACGCAUCUAUGGUGUGUAAACUGCUUUUGUACGGGAAGAAACACUCCCUCGUGAGGGAGCUUGACGGUACCGUAAGAAUAAGGAUCGGCUAACUCCGUGCCAGCAGCCGCGGUAAUACGGAGGAUCCAAGCGUUAUCCGGAAUCAUUGGGUUUACAGGGUCCGUAGGCGGUUUAAUAAGUCAGUGGUGAAAGCCCAUCGCUCAACGAUGGAACGGCCAUUGAUACUGUUAGACUUGAAUUACAAGGAAGUAACUAGAAUAUGUAGUGUAGCGGUGAAAUGCUUAGAUAUUACAUGGAAUACCAAUUGCGAAGGCAGGUUACUACUUGUGGAUUGACGCUGAUGGACGAAAGCGUGGGGAGCGAACAGGAUUAGAUACCCGAGUAGUCC